Long non-coding RNA from Exaiptasia diaphana, 420 nucleotides. RefSeq lists it as uncharacterized. The transcript is spliced from 2 exons. NCBI's taxonomy places the organism in Eukaryota, Metazoa, Cnidaria, Anthozoa, Actiniaria, Aiptasiidae. The record is from RefSeq and is a predicted model, not a curated record.
GGGUCCAGUAAUUACCAUCAUUCAUGUGGAUUAACAGUAUUUAAAUGUUCACGAAAGACUGCAUGACACUUGUAAGACUUCGAUAUGAAGACCGUGGUAAUAGUAGUACUAGUUUUGGUCUGUAUGGUGUGUAUCAAAACGAGUAAGGCUAUCACAUCAGGGUUAUGUUUAUCGGUUCCUGGUCAGCCAUGCUCACGCAAAAAAGRCGUUAAAGACAGCAAAAACGAUGACAAACUCUUAAGAAAGAAGACUUUCAGAAUCGAUAGAGGUGUGUGCAGAACAGCAACUCAAAUAGCAAAAGAAUGUGCAAUGGCCUACAACAACUAUUGACGAAAUUCUAUUUUUAGACGAAAUUAAGAAUCCAUACAAGAAUGCCAGACUAAAAAUGCAAAAAAAAAGUGAAUAAAAAUUUCAUAUAUG